This 300-nucleotide ribosomal RNA is filed under the name uncultured Lactobacillus sp. RNAcentral describes it as "bacterial SSU rRNA". It matches the Rfam family "Bacterial small subunit ribosomal RNA", at positions 496 to 795 of the family's 1533-position model. Lineage: Bacteria; Bacillati; Bacillota; Bacilli; Lactobacillales; Lactobacillaceae. The record is from RNAcentral.
CGUGCCGGCGGGCCAGGAGACGCAGUAGGACGGUGGGACCGAGGUUGAAUCGGUAUUACGGGGCGUAAAGCGUGCGCAGGCGGUGUGUUAAGCGAGAUGUGAAAGCCCUGGGCUCAACCGAGGAAUAGCAUUUCGAACUGGCGAACUAGAGACUUGUAGAGGGGGGUAGAAUUCCAGGUGUAGCGGUGAAAUGCGUAGAGAUCUGGGGGAAUACCGGUGGCGAAGGCGGCCCCCUGGACAAAGACUGACGCUCAUGCACGAAAGCGUGGGGAGCAAACAGGAUUAGAUACCCUUGUAGUC